Molecule: ribosomal RNA, 919 nt
Filed under: Cynoscionicola branquialis
Lineage: Eukaryota; Metazoa; Platyhelminthes; Monogenea; Mazocraeidea; Microcotylidae
Description: eukaryotic LSU rRNA
Rfam family: Eukaryotic large subunit ribosomal RNA
Source: RNAcentral
UAUCAAUAAGCGGUGGAAAAGAAACUAACCAGGAUUCCCCUAGUAACGGCGAGUGAACAGGGAUUAGCCCAGCACCGAAGUCUGCGUCCGUUUGGGCGUUGGACAAUGUGGUGUUUAGGUUAGCACUUUUGGAUGUUGCUCCGUUCAAAGUCCAUUCAUGAAUAUGGCAAUUAGUUUGGCCCAGAGAGGGUGAAAGGCCCGUGUGGAUGGAGCGACGUUCGACUGUGUUGACUAUUGAGUCGGGUUGUUUGAGAAUGCAGCCCAAAGUUGGUGGUAAACUCCAUCUAAGGCUAAAUACUGGCACGAGUCCGAUAGCGAACAAGUACCGUGAGGGAAAGUUGAAAAGUACUCUGAAGAGAGAGUUAACAGUGCGUGAAACCGCUUAGAAGCAAACGGGUGUAGUCAAGCUGCAAGCCUCAAGAAAUAGGUGGGUCAGAAUGGCGUGAGUCUGAGCACAUAGAGCUGUCAGGUGGGUUCGACUAUAUGUCGAGUUUGGCCCGUAAGGGUUGAAUUUGCGGAGCGUCAUUCGGCGUUGCAAGCCUGUCUGUCAGUUGCUCUACUGACCCACUCACUUUCUUUUGGCGUGUGUCACGACCGUCUUAGCUGCCGGUCUGCUCCAUUUAAACCGCUUCGUAAGUAGUCUCGUGCUUCUUGCGUUGCGGGGGCAGGUAGCUGGCCUGGUUCGCCAGGUCAGUGUAAUUGCUGAGUGGAGUGGUAUCCUUAACUGUGCAGUACGACGUGGCUGGCGGUGCAUUGUUGCUGGGCGCGCUAUAGUGUGUCGGCGUAGUUGGCGUAUGGCUGCUUGUUGCUGUUAAUAACGGCCUAGUGGUUGCCCGACUGCGGUUUGAUGCGCGGCUGUGUCCGGUCAAUCUUGCGUUGUGCCUAUAGUCUGUGACUUAGUGGUAGACGAUCCACCCGA